Long non-coding RNA from Hirundo rustica (Barn swallow), 984 nucleotides. RefSeq lists it as uncharacterized. The record is from RefSeq and is a predicted model, not a curated record. NCBI's taxonomy places the organism in Eukaryota, Metazoa, Chordata, Aves, Passeriformes, Hirundinidae. The transcript is spliced from 2 exons.
CUGACAUCCCGCUGAGCUGCAGGAGACUUUCUCUGGACAGAGUGGUGGCCAAGGUGAGGACACAGCUUGUCUUGCUCUGUGGGGGCCCUGCUGUUCCUCCUUGUCCUCUCCAAAAGCCAGGAGGAUGCUCUGCCACAAGAAGUCUGGGCAGGUGUAUUGUUUUUUUAACACAGGAAAGAAGUCCUGCUACUGUAAGUCUGCUUAUCCUCAAGUGGAACAGUUUUGAUGGGAAGCAUAAGGCACCUCACUUUCCAGAGCCACCACACAGAGUAUCUGAAUUUAAAACCCCACAAAGUGGGAAAGACCUAAGCUGCUGAACUCUAAGUUGCUCUUAACGUGCUUUCUUUAAGAGUUUGGGCCCUUCCUUCAGCUGGCUGGAGAAGAGCUGCUUUUCCUCAGUUUAAACACAACAACUGAUGUCUUCUUUCCCAUUCCUCCAAAACAUGACUGGAUUUAUAACACAGCAAGUCCAGAAGAAUAUCUCACAUCAGGAUUCUCGGGUUGAAGCUCUUACAGCACAAAACAUUUACCUGUAUGAAAACACUGGAGGCACAGAAACCAAAAUGGUUUGGAUUUCUCAACUGGCAUAGGUCACUAUAUUUUGUACUGGAAAUCUCCUUUCAGUCCUUACAUUUCAACUCUUCAGCUCCUCUGUGCUACAGGGAGCAGACUAUUAAAUCUACAGACUGAGGAAAACUGGGUUUGAGGGUUUUCUUUAAUUGGUAUGUUCAUAGUACAGAACUAUGGCAGCAGCAUCUUGAAAAAUGAGGACAUGAAUAUGCACGAUAAAACCAGCCCAGGGUAAUUAAUCCUUGCAAGAAGAGACCUUCUUGUCUCUGCACAGAAUGAAAGCAAAUGCAAGUGAAAUAUCCAGAAACCCCAAAAUCAAAUUAGGACUGUAAUGUGUGCAAGGCAAAAAGGAUGAUCAAAGGACUGAGUGGGAACUAAAGCUUAAGACCUAUGAACUCUGAAGUUUUUAUUGAU